UGGGGAAUAUUGCGCAAUGGGCGAAAGCCUGACGCAGCGACGCCGCGUGAGGGAUGAAGGUUUUCGGAUCGUAAACCUCUGUCAGAAGGGAAGAAACCGCACUGUGCUAAUCAGCAGUGCCUUGACGGUACCUUCAAAGGAAGCACCGGCUAACUCCGUGCCAGCAGCCGCGGUAAUACGGAGGGUGCAAGCGUUAAUCGGAAUUACUGGGCGUAAAGCGCACGUAGGCUGCUUUGUAAGUCAGGGGUGAAAUCCCACGGCUCAACCGUGGAACUGCCUUUGAUACUGCUUAGCUUGAAUCCGGGAGAGGGUGGCGGAAUUCCAGGUGGAGGAGUGAAAUCCGUAGAUAUCUGGAGGAACAUCAGUGGCGAAGGCGGCCACCUGGACCGGUAUUGACGCUGAGGUGCGAAAGCGUGGGGAGCAAACAGG
This 429-nucleotide ribosomal RNA is filed under the name Fusobacteriota bacterium. RNAcentral describes it as "Fusobacteria bacterium partial 16S ribosomal RNA". It matches the Rfam family "Bacterial small subunit ribosomal RNA", at positions 355 to 776 of the family's 1533-position model. Lineage: Bacteria; Fusobacteriati; Fusobacteriota. The record is from RNAcentral.